CGGCGGACGGGUGAGUAACACGUGGGUAACCUACCUAUAAGACUGGGACAACUUCGGUAAACCGGAGCUAAUACCGGAUAAUAUGUUGAACCGCAUGGUUCAAUAGUGAAAGAUGGUUUUGCUAUCACUUAUAGAUGGACCCGCGCCGUAUUAGCUAGUUGGUGAGGUAACGGCUCACCAAGGCAACGAUACGUAGCCGACCUGAGAGGGUGAUCGGCCACACUGGAACUGAGUCACGGUCCAG
RNAcentral lists this ribosomal RNA (244 nucleotides) under uncultured Staphylococcus sp. Its description in RNAcentral is "partial 16S ribosomal RNA". It matches the Rfam family "Bacterial small subunit ribosomal RNA", at positions 96 to 334 of the family's 1533-position model. The record is from RNAcentral. Lineage: Bacteria; Bacillati; Bacillota; Bacilli; Caryophanales; Staphylococcaceae.